GACGAACGCUGGCGGCGUGCUUAACACAUGCAAGUCGAACGAAGAGCGAUGGAAGCUUGCUUCUAUCAAUCUUAGUGGCGAACGGGUGAGUAACGCGUAAUCAACCUGCCCUUCAGAGGGGGACAACAGUUGGAAACGACUGCUAAUACCGCAUACGAUCUAAUCUCGGCAUCGAGGAUAGAUGAAAGGUGGCCUCUACAUGUAAGCUAUCACUGAAGGAGGGGAUUGCGUCUGAUUAGCUAGUUGGAGGGGUAACGGCCCACCAAGGCGAUGAUCAGUAGCCGGUCUGAGAGGAUGAACGGCCACAUUGGGACUGAGACACGGCCCAGACUCCUACGGGAGGCAGCAGUGGGGAAUCUUCCGCAAUGGACGAAAGUCUGACGGAGCAACGCCGCGUGAGUGAUGACGGCCUUCGGGUUGUAAAGCUCUGUUAAUCGGGACGAAAGGCCUUCUUGCGAAUAGUUAGA
Molecule: ribosomal RNA, 467 nt
Filed under: Veillonella parvula
Lineage: Bacteria; Bacillati; Bacillota; Negativicutes; Veillonellales; Veillonellaceae
Description: bacterial SSU rRNA
Rfam family: Bacterial small subunit ribosomal RNA
Source: RNAcentral